UAAACAAAGUGAUGAUUAUUCGGAAAACGUUACAUCUAUUAACUUUUGACAGAACGAAGUCUGUCCGGGCAGUUAGUUAUUAAUAUAUUUAAAAUUAUUAAUCGUUGACCGAUACGAUACAGCCGGUAAAUAUAACAUCCAGGGCCGACACUUAACGUGCUUAACGUUGACAGUCUUAUUUGAAUUAUUUGUCUAUGUUCCAGGUGCU
Molecule: unclassified non-coding RNA, 208 nt
Filed under: Melitaea cinxia (Glanville fritillary)
Lineage: Eukaryota; Metazoa; Arthropoda; Insecta; Lepidoptera; Nymphalidae
Description: misc RNA ENSMCXG00005007986.1
Source: RNAcentral